AGCUUUUCGAAUCCAUGCUGAGAUUUCUUCAGAAACCAACACAUUAGGGCUGAUAUGACUUCAAAGAUAUGUGAAGUU
RNAcentral lists this microRNA precursor (78 nucleotides) under Schistosoma margrebowiei. RNAcentral's name for it is "mir-3492 microRNA precursor family". It matches the Rfam family "mir-3492 microRNA precursor family". The record is from Rfam by way of RNAcentral. Lineage: Eukaryota; Metazoa; Platyhelminthes; Trematoda; Strigeidida; Schistosomatidae.